GUCUUUUUGUUUAAAAUUUAAAGUCUGGUCUGCCCUCUGAUUAAAUUGAAUGGCCGCGGUAUUUUGACCGUGCUAAGGUAGCAUAAUCAUUAGUUUUUUAAUUGAAAGCUGGAAUGAAGGGCUGAAUGAAAAAAAGACUGUCUCUAAUUAAUUAUUUUAGAAUUUUAUUUUUAAGUUAAAAAGCUUAAAUUAUAUUAAAAGACGAGAAGACCCUAUAGAGUUUUAUAAUUUUAUAAUAUAAAAAAUUUAGCAUUAAUUUUUUUAUUUUUAUAUAAUUAUUUGAUUGGGGUGAUUAAAAAAUUAAAUUAACUUUUUUAUGUAAUUAUAUUAAUUAAUAAAUAAUUGAUCCAAAAAUUUUGAUUAUAAGAUAAAAUUACCUUAGGGAUAACAGCGUAAUUUUAUUAGAGAGUUCUAAUCGAUAAUAAAGUUUGCGACCUCGAUGUUGGAUUAAAAUUUAUAAUUGGUGUAGAAGCUAUAUUAUUAAGUCUGUUCGACUUUUAAAAUUUUACA
Molecule: ribosomal RNA, 510 nt
Filed under: Pyrrhalta viburni (viburnum leaf beetle)
Lineage: Eukaryota; Metazoa; Arthropoda; Insecta; Coleoptera; Chrysomelidae
Description: partial 16S ribosomal RNA
Rfam family: Bacterial large subunit ribosomal RNA
Source: RNAcentral